Molecule: long non-coding RNA, 895 nt
Filed under: Diabrotica virgifera virgifera (western corn rootworm)
Lineage: Eukaryota; Metazoa; Arthropoda; Insecta; Coleoptera; Chrysomelidae
Description: uncharacterized LOC126889740
Source: RNAcentral
GGCGCAUAGAAGAGUGGGUGGGUCUGGCGAUUGGCAUGCAAUACAUUGAAGGCAUAUGAUAGUUAUUUUAGUAUUUUAAAGUAAUUUUCGUAUUUUAUGUCCAUGGUUUUACUUUAGGAGACUUUAGUAUCAAAAGUUUGGUUGUUAAUUGUAUCAAAUUGGUACAAUUUUAACAACUCUGGCAACGCUGAAUUGCCUGCCAUACGUCCUGUCAUUAAAAAUCACGUGGUUUGGAUUGCCUACUUGCACACUUGAUCCAACGUUGCCAAGUCACUAAAAUCUCAAUAUUUGACACCAAUUUGACAAUUGACAGAUUAUCUUGUAAAUAAAUAAAUAAAUCUAAAUAGUUAUCCUAACAAAACAAAGUCGGGAACAAUGGAUAAAAGCCAGAAGGAGAACAAAACUAAAGUUAAAAUAUGAAAGAAUAUGCAAUAAACAUUGUGUAAGUGAAAAGCCAGCCACUUUAAAAAGAUAUUCCAAACCAAAACAUGAGUUACCAAAGCAGGCAAUAAAAAGAAAAGGUGAUCUAGAAUGCAAGAAAAGAGCUGAUGAAAGAAGUAAAUGUAAAGAAAAUAAUGGGGAGACUUCUCUUGACCAUGAACAAACACCAGAUAUUUUAAUAUGUAGAAAAAGAAAAAACUGCUGGAACUUUAAUUAAAGGCUUUUGACUAGUGAAGAUUUGGAUAAACAACAGGAGUUACUUUGGGCUAUAGCUACGUGCAAAUUUAUUUUCUUGUGGCUUCCUAUGUUUAUUCUUAUUAACUAUACACUUUGAUAUGUUUUUAGUCGCAUGAAGAUUUUAUAGUUUAUUAUUUUAUGUAUAUUGUUAUAUUUGUGUUUUAUAAACAUUAUUAUUAUUAUUACUUUAAUUUCCAUUAAAUAAAUUAACUGUAAU